This 535-nucleotide unclassified non-coding RNA is filed under the name Hevea brasiliensis (rubber tree). The record is from RNAcentral. Lineage: Eukaryota; Viridiplantae; Streptophyta; Magnoliopsida; Malpighiales; Euphorbiaceae.
AUUCCUUCUUUCUUGACUUCUGGGUCAACCCAACCCGCAUGGGAAGAAGAGGGUCAGCCAAACAGCGGGCAGCUCCAUUUUUUACAUUUGCUGAGGCAGACCAAUUAGGCAUUUUAGAAAAGGGAAGGGAACUUCUCACCGAAGGGGGCAGUAGGAAUGAAGGAGGCGGGAAGCUACCGCUUCUAGAAUGCAAGCUUAUCCUUUACUUUUUUUUUAGAGCUAUUGAAAUAAUAAAAAAAAAAUUGUUGGAUGAAGUAAUCGGAGUGACAAAUGGUUACGGUUGCGGAAACCGGAGAAAGUCGGGAACCGUCGGUUACCUUUUGAAUCAAAGUAGCGACAAGCCGAGUACUACGGGGGAAGCAAAGCUUCGUAGACAGCUUCGCUUCCUCGUCGCUUCUUUCUGGCGACUAGCUUCUCAAGUGGGUGGCUUGGUAAGCAACAAGCUACCUUCAGCAUCGGUAAAAUCCCUAUCAAUAAAUAAUAGGCCGGAAUGGUGGGGAAGGAGGCCCCCCCUACUUCAAUGGAAAGGGGGGAA